Molecule: long non-coding RNA, 2937 nt
Organism: Ipomoea triloba (trilobed morning glory)
Lineage: Eukaryota; Viridiplantae; Streptophyta; Magnoliopsida; Solanales; Convolvulaceae
Exons: 5
Source: RefSeq, a predicted model, not a curated record
CAUCAACAUUAACUACACCCCAUUUUAUAAGCUUUAUAGAUGGUUGGAAAUCCAAAACUCUAGAAUACGAAGAGUUGGCUGUUGUAAUGAAUGCUGUUAUAAGUCUUAUGUGGAUUUAUCAUAUAUUUUUGAAUAAUGUCAUAUUCUGAUCUAUAAUAUGUACACUAACUCUGUUUUUUUGAAGUGGUUCCUGAUAUGUUAAUUACAUUUUAAUGCAAUAACAAUACUACUGUUAUAUUUACAUUUUGUGAGAUAAUAGAUUGUCUAUAAGGGCUUUUUUGGAAGAGUAGUAUUUAAGGUAUUCUCCAGGACAGGUAUGUUUGGGUUGUUGUAACAUUUCUUUCUUUCUUCUCUAUAAGUAUGUGUACUAACAUUUUUUUGGAAGUCUUUGCAAAGGAUGAUAAUUAAAUCUGAUGCAUGUGAUUACAAUAGAACUUAUUCAACAUCAUAAGCCCAAGAUUUGACGUGAAAUUGGGCUCACUUAAAAUACAGUAAGCAUAAAGGGUUCUGGCUGUAAUGAAUGCUGUUAUAAGUCGUGCGAUGUAGAUUUAUCAUAUAUUUUUUAAUAAGGCCAUAUUUUAAUCUAUAAUAUGUACACUAACUAUGUUUUUUUGAAGGGGUUCCCAAAAUGUUAAAUCAUUUUAAUGCAAUCACAAUACUGCUCUUAUAUUUACAUUUUGGGACUGAACGUAUUGUCUAUAAGGGCUUUUUUGGAAGAGUAGUAUUUAAGGUAUUUUCCAAAAACACAUGUUACAUGUUUGGGUGGUUGUAACAUUUCUUUCUUUCUUCUCUAUAAGUAUGUGUACUAAAAAUUUUUUGGAAGCAUUUGCAAAGGAUGAUAAUAAAAUCUGAUGCAUGUGAACACAAUAGAACUUAUUUGUCUCAUAAGCCCAAGAUUUGACCUGAUAUUGGGCUCACUUAAAAUACAGUCAGCAUAAAUUUUUUAAAAUUACACUUGGCAUUUAAAGAGGUAUGUGUUCCAAACUUAUUAUUACAUUCAAUUGACGUUAUGUACCAAUCUUAGAUGCCAAAUGUUUUCAUCAUCUAAUCCUCUAAUAACAUUGAAUUAGCAGUUUUAAGUGAUAAUUAUUUCAAUUAUACUUAUAAUAUGUAAACUCACAAUGUAGUACGAAUUACCCUGCAAAUGUUAGAUAGUGAAAUGUGACAGUUUGUUACUGCUUCAUUAAACUUAAUUAACUGAAAAGUACAGAUAUUUGUGGAAUGAAAGUUUCAAAUUUCUAUUCUUCUAGUCUGUAAUGAGUACAUGAUAUGCAUGUUUCCUAAUCUGAAACUUUUAAUUGAGGAAACUAUUUUUACAAUCACUUAGCUAGAUUCAAUUACAUUGUGUAGAGAGUGGUUAUUUUUUUCACUAAACCAUACUGCAACAGUUGUAGGCUGGAUUUGUAGAUAGCUGAUCACUGAUCACUAUGACUUGAACCCUCCCUUGAAGUUUCAUCCUCUUCAGUUGUAGUUGUAUAGCAUGGCUUCGCCACCCUGAAUUGCAGCCUGAAACUGAAAGGUCCCUCAGUAGCAUCAGCAGUAAUUGGCGGCAGAGUUGCAAUUGGGCUGUCAGCUUCAUCACUCAAAAAACCCUACAAAUACAGAAGUAUAGAACCAAUCUCUUGGUGACUCAAUACCAUUGAUCCUCGCAGCAACCCAGAAUUCACCAAACUGAUGGUCAAGGUUAAACAGCGAUUGAGUCACAUCAUAGGAUGAACAGAUUUUUACACCACCAUCUAAAACACAACAAUAUAAUUACACUUUACUCUGCAGAAUUGGAUCAACACUACAACAGCCUGAUAGAAUGGCUCAAUUUUGGACACAUGAUCAUCCCAAAAGGUACAACUUAGCUUAUUUCCCCUGUAUUACAUUCAAAUUUAAAUUUAUAUUUGAAAAUGAUGUUUAUAAUAAAAAAUAAAAAAAAGUUGACUUACAAUGCAUCCUCCAAAACAAUGUCUAUCAGCCUUGUAUUAUGACCACCAAUAAUCUUUUCUUGAGGUCCAUGUAUUUGAACAACACGACCAAUAAUAUCUAUUUUAUAUACAUAGUUAUAACAAAAAUACUGAGGAAUUUUUUAAAACAUAAUGAGAAGAAAUAUGACAAAUCAAUUGAAAGUUUAGAAACUUACCUAUAAGAUGUUUGUCUUGGGUUACCUUUCAAACUAUUGAAUGGCUUUAGUCUGUACAUGUGCCAUGGGAAAUUGUCGGACCUAAUUUCUUUCAUAAUUGUUUCAUGAUUGAACUGCAACAUAUAUUCAUGCAAACUGGUCUUGUAUGUAUGAGUAUUCGAAACAACAAAGAAAUUUUUCACAGCAUACACUUUGCUUUCUACAAAGCUGUUACUGAAGUUUUCUACCAGAGUUUUUGGUACAUGUGCAUGAAUUACAGUGCCCUGUUGAUAACUCAAUAGGUUAGCAUUGAAGUGUAUAUUUCCAUUAUUUUAUCUAAGUCUACUUUAAUGCUAAUGAACAUACUUCAUGAAAAUGCAAAUGAGUAGAGAGAAGAAAACAUACUUCUGAAUCGUGAAACACGAUUUCCUGAAAUUUAUUUCCUGAGAACCUUUCCUUAGUGGUACCAAAUAGGUACGAAUCACCCGUAACUUCAUAGCACUCCUGUUCUUGAACGUAGACAACUCAUUGGCCAGGCAAUACAUUCCCAUAUUCGAAUUACAGUAUGCAAGAAUGAGGGGUAAUUUCGAAGGGUUCUUCUAAUCUCAAUACGGUACUGUAAUCUAGAUGAUGUCUAGAGGUGUAUAUAUAUGGUUGUAAUAUAAGUGUGAGAGCAGAAGACUUCUGGAGUUGCAUUACUUCCUUUUUCAUUCCCGGAACAUAUGUAUCGAAUAACUAAUCGUUGCAACCUUUUCGAUAUCCUAAACAUAUUGCGGCUAUAUAUUCACGCCUGAAAUAUAAUUCAUUACAUUGUAUAAUUAGUGUACAUC